This 427-nucleotide ribosomal RNA is filed under the name uncultured bacterium. Its description in RNAcentral is "partial 16S ribosomal RNA". It matches the Rfam family "Bacterial small subunit ribosomal RNA", at positions 355 to 774 of the family's 1533-position model. The record is from RNAcentral.
UGGGGAAUAUUGGACAAUGGGCGAAAGCCUGAUCCAGCCAUGCCGCGUGUGUGAAGAAGGUCUUCGGAUUGUAAAGCACUUUAAGUUGGGAGGAAGGGCAUUAACCUAAUACGUUAGUGUUUUGACGUUAACGACAGAAUAAGCACCGGCUAACUCUGUGCCAGCAGCCGCGGUAAUACAGAGGGUGCAAGCGUUAAUCGGCAUUACUGGGCGUAAAGCGCGCGUAGGUGGUUUGUUAAGUUGGAUGUGAAAGCCCCGGGCUCAACCUGGGAACUGCAUCCAAAACUGGCAAGCUAGAGUACGGUAGAGGGUGGUGGAAUUUCCUGUGUAGCGGUGAAAUGCGUAGAUAUAGGAAGGAACACCAGUGGCGAAGGCGACCACCUGGACUGAUACUGACACUGAGGUGCGAAAGCGUGGGGAGCAAACA